RNAcentral lists this ribosomal RNA (200 nucleotides) under uncultured bacterium. Its description in RNAcentral is "partial 16S ribosomal RNA". It matches the Rfam family "Bacterial small subunit ribosomal RNA", at positions 29 to 223 of the family's 1533-position model. The record is from RNAcentral.
AGUGAACGCUGGCGGAAGGCCUAACACAUGCAAGUCGAACGGCAGCACAGAGGAGCUUGCUCCUUGGGUGGCGAGUGGCGGACGAGUGAGGAAUAUAUCGGGAAUCUACUUUUUCGUGGGGGAUAACGUAGGGAAACUUACGCUAAUACCGCAUACGACCUACGGGUGAAAGCAGGGGACCUUCGGGCCUUGCGCGAUUG